Salarias fasciatus (jewelled blenny) is the source of this 1479-nucleotide long non-coding RNA. RefSeq lists it as uncharacterized. Lineage: Eukaryota; Metazoa; Chordata; Actinopteri; Blenniiformes; Blenniidae. The record is from RefSeq and is a predicted model, not a curated record. The transcript is spliced from 3 exons.
GAGCGCCGGCGGCUGGCGGGAUGACGUGGCGACUCGCUGAAGAGCCAUUGAGAAAAAGACAGGAUGUCUGUGGGAGGAGAGAUGGAGAGAGUGCAAGGUCAAGAGAGGCGGAGGUGGAGGAGGAGGUGGAGGGGUGGGUGGGAUGUAAUUAUGCGUCCCCUCUCUGGCGUUAUCUCCACCUCGUGUCUCCUUCUGUUAGUCUCAGCAUCCAACGCUCCGGAGCGUCUCCGCUUCCGCCACACUUUUUAUCUCUCCUUAUCCCCCGUUUUAUCUCCUUCCCUCCGUCAGCGCCACCUCCUCCUCCUCCUCCUCCUCCUUCCUUCCUUCCUGCACUCCUCUCUUCCCGUUUUCACAGUUCCUCUUUCUGUCACUCCUCUCAUAUCCCAACAUCUUUCCCCUUCAUGCAUCCAUGAUCUGUUUUCAGCCUCAUGUCAGCGCUCCAAAUUUGGGAAAAAAAUGACAAUUUGUCCAAAUCAGAAUCUAUGACCAGUAAAUAGGAAAUCCUACAGUCCAAUAUGAAAUCCACUUGUUUAAAUAUUUCUUUUUUUAACCUUUAAUUUUCUCGGAGAACACCGUAGCCUGAAAUAACUGAGUUGAGAGAAUCGUGGGAGAUUCAUGACAUCAUUCAAGAUGGCCGCCCCCAUCGAUCGCUCUUCAUUUCGGUUGUUUUCAGUUUUAACUGAGCUUUGGACACUGCUUGUCCAGAUAUUUGGUUUUUGGUGAGUGAUGGCAGCUUUCAGCUCGUACGAAACAAACAGCAGCGCCAACUCGUGGCCCAACAUACUAACUGCAACGCUGUCAGUGUUUCUGCUGUUUCCGUGGAAACGGACAUCGCUUCCGAAACGUUGCAGUGUAAAUGAGAGAAUUUUCUGAAUGGAAAACGUGUAAAUAUCCAUAUUCAAUAUUCAAAUCCCACUGUUUUCUUUUCACUCUCAUCUCACCUCAUCUCUCCAUUUCUCCCCCUCCUUUAAUUCUUAUCCUCGUUUUAUGCAAAGCGCCAUCUUUUCCCAGGGACACUUUCCCCUCUGCUUUCAUUUCCUCCCUCAUAUCUUGUCGUCAUGUCAUGGCGCCCGGCCUCUUCACCUCCUGCCGUUCAGCCCCUCAUCGCUCCGUCGCUCCCUCCGUCCGUCCUCCGCCGCUCUGCCAGGGAGGAACAGGUGGCUUCGCCGCUGCUGUGCCACUCGGUGGCUUCCUGCCUGAAAACGGGGAGCGGCGGGGGGAAUGGAGGCCCGUGUCGGCGUCCCCGCUUCUCCUCUCGGGGGCUUUUAAACAUGUGAUGGACGGAAGGAGGAGGAGGAGGAGGAGGAGGAGGGAGCCGACUGAAGGCUGUGAUUUUCCAGAUUGAGAGCAGCAGGUGCUUCAGUGUGAGGCACUUACAGAGGCGAACAUGCACUUAAUGAUAAGAGCUGCUGAGAUAUUUCUGUGCCCACAGCAGCAUGGCAUCAUGUCCGGGUCUCAGAAACAGCCCAGAAACAAGUC